GACGAACGCUGGCGGCGUGCUUAACACAUGCAAGUCGAACGGAAAGGCCUGCUUUCCCUUGUGGAUUGCGGGUACUCGAGUGGCGAACGGGUGAGUAACACGUGAGUGAUCUGCCCCCAACUUGGGUAUAAGCCUGGGAAACUGGGUCUAAUUCCCGAUAGGACUGCAGGGUGGUGCCUGUGGUGGAAAACGAUUUUCUAGUGGUUGGGGAUGAGCUCGCGGCCUAUCAGCUUGUUGGUGGGGUAAUGGCCUACCAAGGCGGCGACGGGUAGCCGGCCUGGGAGGGUGGACGGCCACAUUGGGACUGAGAUACGGCCCAGACUCCUACGGGAGGCAGCAGUGGGGAAUAUUGCACAAUGGGCGGAAGCCUGAUGCAGCGACGCCGCGUGGGGGAUGACGGCCUUCGGGUUGUAAACUCCUUUCGACCGAGAGGAAGCCACCUGGUUGGAAGGGUGGUGACGGUAGUGGUAGAAGAAGCACCGGCUAACUACGUG
Molecule: ribosomal RNA, 494 nt
Filed under: uncultured bacterium
Lineage: Bacteria
Description: partial 16S ribosomal RNA
Rfam family: Bacterial small subunit ribosomal RNA
Source: RNAcentral